RNAcentral lists this long non-coding RNA (309 nucleotides) under Homo sapiens (human). RNAcentral describes it as "HSALNT0300360". Lineage: Eukaryota; Metazoa; Chordata; Mammalia; Primates; Hominidae. The record is from RNAcentral.
GGUUUAAAUGCUUGUGGCUCACUGUAGUUUAAGUGAGGAUUUCCUUGCAAUGAGUAGAAUUUCCCUUCUGUCCCUUGUCACAAGUUUAAAAACCUCACAGCUUGUAUAAUGUAACCAUUUGGGGUCCGCUUUUAACUUGGACUAGUGUAACUCCUUCAUGAAAUAAACUGAAAAGAGCCAUAAAAAAAAAUGAAAACAGGGCCGGGCGCGGUGGCUCACGCCUGUAAUCCCAGCACUUUGGGAGGCCGAGGCAGGUGGAUCACGAGGUCAGGAGUUCAAGACCAGCCUGGCUAACAUGGUGAAACCCCG